Molecule: ribosomal RNA, 440 nt
Filed under: uncultured bacterium
Lineage: Bacteria
Description: partial 16S ribosomal RNA
Rfam family: Bacterial small subunit ribosomal RNA
Source: RNAcentral
CCUACGGGUGGCAGCAGUGGGGAAUAUUGGACAAUGGGGGCAACCCUGAUGCAGCGACGCCGCGUGAAGGAUGAAGGAUUUCGGGAUGUAAAGCUCUAUCAUCAGGGAAGAAAAUGACGUUACCUGACUAGGAAGCCCCGGCUAACUACGUGCCAGAAGCCGCGGUACUACGUCGGGGGCAAGCGUUAUCCGGAUUUACUGGGUGUAAAGGGAGCGUAGACGGCUUGGCAAGCCAGAUGUGAAAGGCUGGGGCUCAACCCCAGGACUGCAUUUGGAACUGUCAUGCUAGAGUGUUGGAGAGGCAGGCGGAAUUCCUAGUGUAGCGGUGAAAUGCGUAGAUAUUAGGAGGAACACCAGUGGCGAAGGCGGCCUGCUGGACGAUGACUGACGUUGAGGCUCGAAAGCGUGGGGAGCAAACAGGAUUAGAUACCCUAGUAGUC